Helianthus annuus (common sunflower) is the source of this 4475-nucleotide long non-coding RNA. RefSeq lists it as uncharacterized. NCBI's taxonomy places the organism in Eukaryota, Viridiplantae, Streptophyta, Magnoliopsida, Asterales, Asteraceae. The record is from RefSeq and is a predicted model, not a curated record. The transcript is spliced from 9 exons.
CACGCUUUUGCACCUUCGAAACCCUAAUUUUGAUAUCCAUCUUCUCUCUCACGCUUCAUUCCAAACCCUAAUACACUCCAUCCCAUCUCUCCGAUCCUCCACUUUGCCUUUUCUCUGCUUCAACCAUUGAUUCUAAAUGCAUUUGGUGAGUUUAUUUGGACGACGAUCUACGAACCAGGUAAACAACCAUUCGAUCAUAUGUGUUCUUCCUUCAAUGCUCUCGGCAACGAUUGGAACCCUAGAUCUCUAAAGCAACGAUUCGUUUUCGGAUGCGACAGUGCCAGAAUACUCUCCGGUUCACAUGACUUCUACAAGCAGGUACACAAGUUAUUUUUAUCAAUAAGUUCUAGAUUUUAACUGAUUAAGGUAGUAAUCUCUCUAUUUUCAUAUGAUAUUAUUCUUCAGUUUUGGUUUAUAUAAUUUAUUAUUGUUUAUAUAUUUUAUUAUGGCUUAUACUGAACUUAUUGGUUUGAUUGUGGAGUGGUUGGGAUUAUGGUCUCUGGGUAAUCAGAUGGAUUAAAGCUUAAGGUAUAGCACUUUUCAUGUUCUGAUUCAACGUUUUUGUUCAUGUAUUGAAGGUUUUUCUUAAUGAAUUGAAUGUUGCGUGUGUUCUGGUUGGUUUGGGCAUGUUUAUAAGGUGUUCGAUGAAAUGCCAAAAGUUUAUUUUCAUUCUAUUUUGGUCCAGAAAUACAAAUACUUCUUUUUAUUGAUAAUAUCAUUGAUUUUAGUCUAAUUAUAUAUAGAAUUAUUACUAUGUGUAAUUAUUAAAUGUGAGGAUUGCUACAUUCUUUCCAAGUUAGAAAAAUAUAGAUAAAUAAUCUUUUAUAAGUUUUCAUUUUCUAAAGGUUCAUUACAAACAGGGGAAAUGGUCAUAUCAUAGCUCCUGGCUUGGUUCUCAUGUUUAUGUGUGUAUAAAUUUAUAAAAUUGGAAGUUAUGGUGUUACAUUUGUCGUGAUACUUGCUCAUUAUCUAUGAGUUUUGGUGCAAGUCAUGACCAGCAAAUGGAUCAUGAAUGCAUCAUAAUGAUCAGAUUAAUAAAUGCAUUCUUGGCCACCAAUCUAUAUGCUUUCUUGAAAUUGAUCCUAAGAAUGACUUAUAUGUGAGGUUGAGGCUAUUCAUGCUCUCAAAAAUCAACAAAAAUCAUGUGUGUAAUUGUGAUUAGUUCUUUUGUUAAUUGGAUUUGUUUAAUAUAAAGUUCUAUUCGAAUGUGUCAAGUAUCUUUUAUUUGUCACAAACAAACUUAAGCAUUUUUUUUGGUUUUGGCAAAGAAAAAAAGCAUGUCAAAAUUUUGGGUUGUGUUUUAUCCAAUACGGGUCAAAUAAACUUUGGGUUGUGCUUUAUCUCAAACGGGUCAAGUGAAAUUUUAGUUUAUGAUGACAAAGAACAUUAUACAUUAUACAUUUAUUUUAGAUAUGUUUGAUUGUUGAUUAUAUUUCUUUCUUCUUUGUUUUGCAUUCCAACGAUCUUAUCCGAUUGUAUGGUAUUAACAUUACUUCGAACCUUAUUUCGCAUCUCUGAAAGAUCUUCAAUAACAAGGUAUGAUCCCAAUUUAUUUCUAUUAACAUCUUGAUUUGGUUAUUGUUUAACAUUUAAUGAUGUUUUUUUUUUGGUUAUGCAUUCGUUCGCAUCUAGGGUUUCAUCUUUUCUGAAUCUUUAAUUGAUAUUUGAAGUAUAAUGUAAUUAUGUAACUGGGUUUAGUUUUAGUUACAAAAUUGGUGUAGAAUCUGGGAAUUUGAUAUUAAUAUAUGUGGAUUUUAAAUUAGAAUUUGAGAUGUGGUCAUACGAAGAUGGAACUAAUUCUUUAGCCAUGGCUAAAUGAGUGGGUAAGAUUCUAAGUUUUUUUAACUGUUGUACAAUUUAUUUGUUUCAUGUGAUUUUAUUACUUAUCCAAUUUUAUUAUUGCUGGAGUGAGAGCUAAUGAGUUCCUUUAAAAGCUUGGAGCUUUUAUGAUAGAGACAUUACUCCUAAAGGUGGGUGAAAACGUGAAGGUAACUUGACUCUAAUUUGUUAUCUAAUUACUUAAUAUUUUUUUAUCAUAGAAAAUAAACAUAUCUAUGCGAUGGAGGGUAUAUUAUCAUACUUUGACCACUUUUGUUAUAUUUGCAAGAAUCUAAUGCAAAUGUGGAAAAAAUUAUAGCUCCUAAUGGUCUAAUAAAAAGUUAGGGUCUGUGUUUGGUGUUAAUCAGGUGCUUAAUUUCUUUUAUCAUAUUUUAAUUAAACAGUUAAAUCUUUUUUUAUUUUUGGAGUAAUCCAAUCUCUCAUGGGACAAAAAUUCCUCUUUUAUGGGUACAACUCAGUUGAACGGCGGUGGUGCCUCCAGGUAGUAUAUUUACAAGAUCCGGUGUUUAAGGUAUAUAUAAAUACUUAAUUAGUUAAACCUUCACUUGAAUCUAUAUUCACUUGGUAUAUAGCUCAGGUUAUGAAACUAAUAGAGGUUGGUACUUGGUUAAUUAAAGAAGUAAACAUUUUUUGAUGUAGAUAUACUUUUACGGAUUAUUUGCAAGGAAGUAGGCUAAAUUAAUCGCUUUCUAAAAAAACAUUUUUAAUGUAUGCUUUAUCAAAAUAUAAUUUGUUGUGAAGCAUUGGUGAUUGCAAUGACGGAUAGCCCCACACUCAACCCGUUCUUCUCCAUUAAUCGCAUCUCUUUUAUUAAAUCCUAAAAGUGAUCGGUCUUUGUUGAAGAUUAAAGAUAGCCGCUUUGUUUUUCAUUUGAUUUCCACAUGUACGUUUAAUCAACUGUUGAUAGGGUUAUGUGCAAUAAAAGACUGGUGGAUUGAUUUUCUUAGCAGUUAUGGUAGCAAUCAUAGGUGAUGUAUAUGAUGAUUUUAGCUUCACAAGUUAGUAGAUUUUCAAAGUUGGUGACGAACGAUUCAAAUUGAGGAUCAAGACUUUGUAUAAUUUGUAAAACCAAGGGAGAUUAGAGAAUUCAGUUCUCACUGAGAUUCGUUUUUUUAAUUAUAUCAGUUAUGAAAUUCUUUAUUAGAAUACAUGCAGUUUUAAAGUUUAUCAACGAAGCUAAGCUCAGUUUACAUUAUGCAAUUAUGAUUUUAAGGAUGGCCCUUGAAGAAUUCCGCAGUGGUUGCUGGUGGCGGUGUAAUAGAUGUGUAUAUUUUUUCCAAGGACUUAAGAUGAAUCACUACCUUCUGGAUGUAGGUCAAAAAGAUCCCCAUCAGUAUGAUGUCUAUCCACUGGGAUGGUUCUCAACUUUCAGUUAUAUUAUAUUGGUGGCAAUUGUUCUUAAAUUCGCUUUAAGAUUGGGCGAGAGACAAAACAAGAGUUAUUGAAAAGUCAAUGGGAGAAGUUGGGAUCAAGCCGGCGACAAUUGAGGUCGAUGGUCGAUAUGCAUUUGGAUAUUUGUCUGGUGAAAAAGGAACACAUCAAAUUGUUAGACAAUCUCCUUUUAACACAAAAGGUCUUCGUUAGUCAAGCUUUUUUGAUAUUGAAGUGAUGGGUCUUAUUUCAGAAGAUUCACUAAAUGUGGAAAUACCAGAUGAAGACCUUCAACUAGGGUUCUCAAGAGCUUGUGGGAGUGGUGGUCAGAAUGUUAAUAAAGUUGAAUUUGUUGUCAGGAUUACCCGUAUUCCAACCGGAGUAACCGUUCGUUGUACAGGGGUGAACAUAUGAUAUUGGUCCAACUUUUGAGGUCAAGUUAAAUGUAUAAUAUACUCUUCAAUUACUUGGUUUUUUGUCUUAGAAAUGUAAUAUGAAGACCAACAUUUUUAUUUUGUUUAAACCCACGACACAUAUACCAUUGAGAGAGAGAGAAAGUGAUAGCAAACCGUUCUGGUGGCAGUCAACCUUCAAGAUCGGAGAAUAAGGAACCCGAUCGUGGUGUCAGUAAUGGGCGGUGGUGUUGAUCUUUGUGGAAGUAUCCAUCAAAGCCCAUGAGUCAAGGCAAUUCAGACUUCUCAUGCUACCAACUACCGCUGCAAAUGUUCUCUCUUAGCCUUGCCUUUUGUUGUACUUAUUGUUAUUUUUAUCCAUUCCACACCACCAUACUAUAUAUUCAACCCCUCAUAAUUUUCUUACAAAUUUAUACAAGAAGUUGAAUAUAUUAGUAUACAUUAGUUGGGUUUAAGAAAGAUGACUCUUUUGUAAUAAAAAACAAAGGAAGUUGAUAAUUCGUGAAAGUUUGGAACUCAGCACAGAUUUGACCGAUUAUAUAGCAUAAUUAUCCGAGGGCAGUUGAAAAUUCAUCUAUGCUUUCUCUAUUAGAGACCUGAUGGCCAUUCAUGAAUUUUUCGAAUCUGGGAUCUAAAGCUAAAGAGGCGCUGUAGGGGAUCAUUCUGGUGGUUUGCUGGGUGGUGUGGAAAACGAGAAACGAUUAUAGAUUUAACGGUACAGAGAAGACGGAUGUCGACAUUAUCCAAGAGGUCAAGGUGUUAGGUUAUUUGUGGUACCGUAAUAGGUCUAAGAAUAGGAAUAUUUCGUGGGACGAAUGUUGUUCUUUCACUAUAAUGUAAGCGGUUUUGGUG